Molecule: ribosomal RNA, 465 nt
Filed under: uncultured bacterium
Lineage: Bacteria
Description: partial 16S ribosomal RNA
Rfam family: Bacterial small subunit ribosomal RNA
Source: RNAcentral
GACGAACGCUGGCGGCGUGCUUAACACAUGCAAGUCGAGCGAGGCCCCUCCUUCGGGAGGGUGUCCUAGCGGCGAACGGGUGAGUAACACGUGGGCAACCUGCCCUCAGCUCUGGGAUAACUCCGGGAAACCGGGGCUAAUACCGGAUACGACCUCCACGGGCAUCUGCGGAGGUGGAAAGUUUUUCGGCUGAGGAUGGGCCCGCGGCCUAUCAGCUAGUUGGUGGGGUAGUGGCCCACCAAGGCGACGACGGGUAGCCGGCCUGAGAGGGCAACCGGCCACACUGGGACUGAGACACGGCCCAGACUCCUACGGGAGGCAGCAGUGGGGAAUAUUGCGCAAUGGGCGAAAGCCUGACGCAGCGACGCCGCGUGAGGGACGAAGGCCUUCGGGUUGUAAACCUCUUUCAGCAGGGACGAAGCGAAAGUGACGGUACCUGCAGAAGAAGCACCGGCCAACUACGUG